UACGAAGGGUGCAAGCGUUACUCGGAAUUACUGGGCGUAAGGGGUGCGUAGGUGGUCGUUUAAGUCCGUUGUGAAAUCCCUGGGCUCAACCUGGGAAUGGCAGUGGAUACUGGACGGCUAGAAUGCGGUAGAGGGUAGUGGAAUUCCCGGUGUAGCAGUGAAAUGCGUAGAGAUCGGGAGGAACACCAGUGGCGAAGGCGGCUACCUGGACCAGCAUUGACACUCAAGCACGAAAGCGUGGGGAGCAAACAGG
Molecule: ribosomal RNA, 253 nt
Filed under: uncultured bacterium
Lineage: Bacteria
Description: partial 16S ribosomal RNA
Rfam family: Bacterial small subunit ribosomal RNA
Source: RNAcentral